AGAUGAAAGGAGCAAAUGUUCCGCUUUGGGAUGAGCCUGCGGUCCAUUAGCUAGUUGGUAGGGUAAAGGCCUACCAAGGCUACGAUGGAUAGCCGGCCUGAGAGGGUGAACGGUCACACUGGGACUGAGACACGGCCCAGACUCCUACGGGAGGCAGCAGCUAAGAAUCUUCCGCAAUGGGGGAAACCCUGACGGAGCGACGCCGAGUGGACGAUGAAGGCCUAGAGGUUGUAAAGUCCUUUUGCAGACGAAGAAUAAGGCAAGGAGUGGAACGCCUUGCUGAUGACGUUAGUCUUGCGAAUAAGCCCCGGCCAAUUACGUGCCAGCAGCCGCGGUAACACGUAUGGGGCGAGCGUUGUUCGGAAUUAUUGGGCGUAAAGGGCGCGUAGGCGGUGCUAUAAGCUUGGUGUGAAAUCCCCCGGCCUAACAGGGGAAUAGCGCUGAGAACUGUAGUGCUUGAGUUCUGGAGAGGAAGCUGGAAUUCCUGGUGUAGGGGUGAAAUCUGUAGAUAUCAGGAAGAACACCGGUGGCGAAGGCGGGCUUCUGGCCAGAAACUGACGCUGAGGCGCGAAAGCGUGGGGAGCGAACAGGAUUAGAUACCCUGGUAGUCCACGCUGUAAACGAUGUGCACUGGGUGUCGGGGCUUUAAUGGGUCUCGGUGCCGUAGUUAACGCGAUAAGUGCACCGCCUGGGGAGUAUGCUCGCAAGGGUGAAACUCAAAGGAAUUGACGGGGGCCCGCACAAGCGGUGGAGCAUGUGGUUUAAUUCGAUACGCGAGGAACCUUACCAGGGCUUGACAUGUACCUGACGGUCUGUGAGAGCAGGCUUUCUCUUCUGGGACGGGUACACAGGUGCUGCAUGGUUGUCGUCAGCUCGUGUCGUGAGAUGUUGGGUUAAGUCCCGCAACGAGCGCAACCCCUACUGUCUGUUGCCAGCAUUAAGUUGGGGACUCGGACGGAACUGCCGGUGACAAACCGGAGGAAGGUGGGGAUGACGUCAAAUCAUCAUGGCCCUUAUGUCCUGGGCUACACACGUGCUACAAUGGCAGGUACAGCGCGCAGGAGCGAAACGGUGACGUGGAGCCAAUCGCUAAAAGCCUGCCUCAGUUCGGAUUGGAGUCUGAAACUCGACUCCAUGAAGGUGGAAUCGCUAGUAAUCGCGCAUCAGCAUGGCGCGGUGAAUACGUUCCCGGGCCUUGUACAACCGCCCGUCACACCACCCGAGUUGGGGGUACCCGAAGUCGCUUGUCUAACCCAUUUAUGGGGCGACGGCGCCGAAGGUAUGCCUGGUAAGGGGGGUGAAGUCGUAACAAGGUA
This 1316-nucleotide ribosomal RNA is filed under the name metagenome. RNAcentral's name for it is "bacterial SSU rRNA". It matches the Rfam family "Bacterial small subunit ribosomal RNA", at positions 198 to 1498 of the family's 1533-position model. The record is from RNAcentral.